RNAcentral lists this ribosomal RNA (234 nucleotides) under uncultured bacterium. RNAcentral's name for it is "partial small subunit ribosomal RNA". It matches the Rfam family "Bacterial small subunit ribosomal RNA", at positions 26 to 288 of the family's 1533-position model. The record is from RNAcentral.
AGAACGAACGCUGGCGGCAGGCUUAAGACAUGCAAGUCGAACGCCCCGCAAGGGGAGUGGCAGACGGGUGAGUAACGCGUGGGUAUGUGCCCCAAGGUACGGAACGAACGCCGGGAAACUGGCGCUAAUACCGUAUCGUGACCGAGAGGUGAAAGGAUUUAUCGCCUUGGGAUCAGCCCGCGUUAGAUUAGCUAGUUGGUGGGGUAAAGCCUACCAAGGCGACGACGGGUAGCC